CCUACGGGUGGCAGCAGUGAGGAAUAUUGGUCAAUGGACGAGAGUCUGAACCAGCCAAGUAGCGUGAAGGAUGACUGCCCUAUGGGUUGUAAACUUCUUUUAUAUGGGAAUAAAACGUUCCACGUGUGGGAUUUUGUAUGUACCAUAUGAAUAAGGAUCGGCUAACUCCGUGCCAGCAGCCGCGGUAAUACGGAGGAUCCGAGCGUUAUCAGGAUUUAUUGGGUGUAAAGGGAGCGUAGGUGGAUUGUUAAGUCAGUUGUGAAAGUUUGCGGCUCAACCGUAAAAUUGCAGUUGAAACUGGCAGUCUUGAGUACAGUAGAGGUGGGCGGAAUUCGUGGUGUAGCGGUGAAAUGCUUAGAUAUCACGAAGAACUCCGAUUGCGAAGGCAGUUCACUGGACUGCAACUGACAGUGAGGCUCGAAAGUGUGGGUAUCAAACAGGAUUAGAUACCCGGGUAGUC
This 460-nucleotide ribosomal RNA is filed under the name uncultured bacterium. RNAcentral's name for it is "partial 16S ribosomal RNA". It matches the Rfam family "Bacterial small subunit ribosomal RNA", at positions 338 to 795 of the family's 1533-position model. The record is from RNAcentral.